GGAAAGAUGGCCGAGCGGUUUAAGGUAUAGCAUUGGAAAUGCUACGUAGGCUUUUCGUUUACCGAGGGUUCGAAUCCCUCUCUUUCCG
Molecule: transfer RNA, 88 nt
Filed under: Tmesipteris elongata
Lineage: Eukaryota; Viridiplantae; Streptophyta; Polypodiopsida; Psilotales; Psilotaceae
Description: tRNA-Ser
Rfam family: tRNA
About the family: Transfer RNA (tRNA) molecules are approximately 80 nucleotides in length. Their secondary structure includes four short double-helical elements and three loops (D, anti-codon, and T loops). Further hydrogen bonds mediate the characteristic L-shaped molecular structure. tRNAs have two regions of fundamental functional importance: the anti-codon, which is responsible for specific mRNA codon recognition, and the 3' end, to which the tRNAs corresponding amino acid is attached (by aminoacyl-tRNA synthetases). tRNAs cope with the degeneracy of the genetic code in two manners: having more than one tRNA (with a specific anti-codon) for a particular amino acid; and 'wobble' base-pairing, i.e. permitting non-standard base-pairing at the 3rd anti-codon position.
Source: RNAcentral